CGUAAAUAACACGAAGACUUUGAUAAGUGAAUGACUCAAACAAGGACACCAUCAAAGAACAAUGCAGUCUACUUUUGUUUUAAUUUGUUGUAUUAGUAAGUAAUUUUGAUAGAUGCUAUUUACUUUUUCGUCAUUUAUAUAGAAAUUAAAAACAUGAAUAGUUGUUAUUUUACUUUAUUUUUUAUUAUUUUUAUAGGCUUAGCAGUUGCUUGUGUUGAUUUGUCUGAAGAAUGUUCCGACAAGAGUCUGUGUAUCUUAAAAUCCUAUAGAGAUGGUUGUCAGAAACUCUGCGGCUGUCCGCGUAAG
This 306-nucleotide long non-coding RNA is filed under the name Mytilus galloprovincialis (Mediterranean mussel). Lineage: Eukaryota; Metazoa; Mollusca; Bivalvia; Mytilida; Mytilidae. The record is from RNAcentral.